Molecule: ribosomal RNA, 253 nt
Filed under: uncultured bacterium
Lineage: Bacteria
Description: partial 16S ribosomal RNA
Rfam family: Bacterial small subunit ribosomal RNA
Source: RNAcentral
UACAGAGGGUGCAAGCGUUGUUCGGAAUUAUUGGGCGUAAAGGGCGCGUAGGCGGUGCGGUAAGUCUGCGGUGAAAUCUCCCGGCUCAACUGGGAGGCUGCCGUGGAAACUGCCGUGCUUGAGUGUGGGAGAGGUGAGUGGAAUUCCCGGUGUAGUGGUGAAAUGCGUAGAUAUCGGGAGGAACACCAGUGGCGAAGGCGACUUCCUGGCCUGUUCUUGACGCUGAGGCGCGAAAGCUAGGGUAGCAAACGGG